Molecule: ribosomal RNA, 338 nt
Filed under: uncultured bacterium
Lineage: Bacteria
Description: bacterial SSU rRNA
Rfam family: Bacterial small subunit ribosomal RNA
Source: RNAcentral
GAUGAACGCUAGCGGCAGGCUUAACACAUGCAAGUCGAGGGGUAGAAGCAGCUUGCUGCUUUGAGACCGGCGCACGGGUGCGUAACGCGUAUGCAAUCUACCUUUUACGGAGGGAUAGCCCAGAGAAAUUUGGAUUAAUACCUCAUAGUAUGUGAGAAUCGCAUGGUUUUCACAUUAAAGUUCCAACGGUAAAAGAUGAGCAUGCGUCCCAUUAGCUAGAUGGUAAGGUAACGGCUUACCAUGGCGACGAUGGGUAGGGGUCCUGAGAGGGAGAUCCCCACACUGGUACUGAGACACGGACCAGACUCCUACGGGAGGCAGCAGUGAGGAAUAUUGGG